CCUACGGGAGGCUGCAGUGAGGAAUAUUGGUCAAUGGGCGUAAGCCUGAACCAGCCAAGUCGCGUGAGGGAUGAAGGCUCUAUGGAUCGUAAACCUCUUUUAUAAGGGAAUAAAGUGCGGGACGUGUCCCGUUUUGUAUGUACCUUAUGAAUAAGGAUCGGCUAAGUCCGUGCCAGCAGCCGCGGUAAUACGGAGGAUCCGAGCGUUAUGCGGAUUUAUAGGGUUUAAAGGGUGCGUAGGCGGCCUUUUAAGUCAGCGGUGAAAUUCUGUGGCUCAACCAUAGAAUUGCCGUUGAAACUGGGAGGCUUGAGUAUGUUUGAGGCAGGCGGAAUGCGUGGUGUAGCGGUGAAAUGCGUAGAGAUCACGCAGAAUCCCGAUUGCGAAGGCAGCCUGCCAAGCCAAGACUGACGCUGAUGCACGAAAGCGUGGGGAUCAAACAGGAUUAGAUACCCUGGUAGUC
Molecule: ribosomal RNA, 460 nt
Filed under: uncultured bacterium
Lineage: Bacteria
Description: partial 16S ribosomal RNA
Rfam family: Bacterial small subunit ribosomal RNA
Source: RNAcentral